UGAGCCUAAAAAAACAACAGUUCCUUUAAAGUCUCUGUGUUUCAGGUCAAAUACUGAGCUGUGGAAGUGAAAUCUACUCCGCGGUAAUGAAACCCAAACGUACAAACCGAGCCGCUGCAGAGUCUGAAACCACAGACAUCUACUCUGAGAUCAGUGACGUGGGGGAGCGGCCACGCGCUGGAAACGGCCGUGGAGCGGACGCUAAAGCAGAGCUGUACAGCAGCGUCAACAAGAAGAAGAGGAACGGUAACCAUACAAAUGUGACCCAGUUCAUCAUUUACAACGUGUAGCACCCGUAC
RNAcentral lists this long non-coding RNA (299 nucleotides) under Neogobius melanostomus (round goby). RNAcentral's name for it is "lncRNA (ENSNMLG00000006809.1)". Lineage: Eukaryota; Metazoa; Chordata; Actinopteri; Gobiiformes; Gobiidae. The record is from RNAcentral.